UACGUAGGGUGCGAGCGUUGUCCGGAAUUAUUGGGCGUAAAGGGCUCGUAGGCGGUUUGUCGCGUCGGGAGUGAAAACGCCGUGCUUAACACGGCGCUUGCUUUCGAUACGGGCAGACUAGAGGUAUGCAGGGGAGAACGGAAUUCUUGGUGUAGCAGUGAAAUGCGUAGAGAUCAAGAGGAACACUCGUGGCGAAAGCGAGCUACUGGACAAUAUCUGACGCUGAGGCUCGAAGGCCAGGGUAGCGAAAGGG
Molecule: ribosomal RNA, 253 nt
Filed under: uncultured bacterium
Lineage: Bacteria
Description: partial 16S ribosomal RNA
Rfam family: Bacterial small subunit ribosomal RNA
Source: RNAcentral